GACAGAGGGUGCAAACGUUGUUCGGAAUUACUGGGCGUAAAGCGCGUGUAGGCGGCUAAGUAAGUCGGGCGUGAAAUCCCACGGCUCAACCGUGGAAGUGCACUCGAAACUGCAUAGCUAGAGUCCUGGAGAGGAAGGUGGAAUGCUUGGUGUAGAGGUGAAAUUCGUAGAUAUUGGGAAGAACACCGGUGGCGAAGGCGGCUCACUGGCUCAUUACUGACGCUGAGGCGCGGAAAGCGUGGGGGAGCAAACAGG
This 255-nucleotide ribosomal RNA is filed under the name uncultured bacterium. RNAcentral's name for it is "partial 16S ribosomal RNA". It matches the Rfam family "Bacterial small subunit ribosomal RNA", at positions 524 to 776 of the family's 1533-position model. The record is from RNAcentral.